Molecule: ribosomal RNA, 291 nt
Filed under: uncultured bacterium
Lineage: Bacteria
Description: partial 16S ribosomal RNA
Rfam family: Bacterial small subunit ribosomal RNA
Source: RNAcentral
AACGAACGCUGGCGGCAGGCCUAACACAUGCAAGUCGAACGAAGCUAUAACCUUCGGGUUAUAGACUGAGUGGCGAACGGGUGCGUAACACGUGGGAAUUUACCUUAUAGUGGGGGAUAACUUUUGGAAACGGAAGCUAAUACCGCAUACGCCCUUUGGGGGAAAGAUUUAUCGCUAUAAGAUGAGCCCGCGCUGGAUUAGGUAGUUGGUAGGGUAAAAGCCUACCAAGCCGAUGAUCCAUAGCUGGUUUGAGAGGAUGACCAGCCACACUGGGACUGAGACACGGCCCAG